AUUGAACGCUAGCGGGAUGCUUUACACAUGCAAGUCGAACGGCAGCGCGGACUUCGGUCUGGCGGCGAGUGGCGAACGGGUGAGUAAUGUAUCGGAACGUGCCCAGUAGUGGGGGAUAACUCCGCGAAAGCGUAGCUAAUACCGCAUACGACCUGCGGGGGAAAGCGGGGGAUCGUAAGACCUUGCGCUAUUGGAGCGGCCGAUGGCGGAUUAGCUAGUUGGUGGGGUAAAGGCCUACCAAGGCGACGAUCCGUAGCUGGUCUGAGAGGACGACCAGCCACACUGGGACUGAGACACGGCCCAGACUCCUACGGGAGGCAGCAGUGGGGAAUUUUGGACAAUGGGCGCAACCCUGAUCCAGCCAUGCCGCGUGUGUGAUGAAGGCCUUCGGGUUGUAAAGCACUUUUGGCAGGAAAGAAACGUCGCGGGCUAAUACCACGUUGAGAUGACGGUACCUGCAGAAUAAGCACCGGCUAACUACGUG
RNAcentral lists this ribosomal RNA (484 nucleotides) under uncultured bacterium. RNAcentral describes it as "partial 16S ribosomal RNA". It matches the Rfam family "Bacterial small subunit ribosomal RNA", at positions 29 to 507 of the family's 1533-position model. The record is from RNAcentral.